RNAcentral lists this ribosomal RNA (253 nucleotides) under uncultured bacterium. Its description in RNAcentral is "partial 16S ribosomal RNA". It matches the Rfam family "Bacterial small subunit ribosomal RNA", at positions 524 to 776 of the family's 1533-position model. The record is from RNAcentral.
UACGUAGGGUGCAGGCGUUAAUCGGAAUUACUGGGCGUAAAGCGUGCGUAGGCGGCUAUGUAAGACAGAUGUGAAAUCCCUGGGCUUAACCUAGGAACUGCAUUUGUGACUGCAUUGCUAGAGUGUGGUAGAGGGAGAUGGAAUUCCGCAUGUAGCAGUGAAAUGCGUAGAUAUGCGGAGGAACACCAAUGGCGAAGGCAAUCUCCUGGACCUGCACUGACGCUCAUGCACGAAAGCGUGGGGAGCAAACAGG